This 337-nucleotide unclassified non-coding RNA is filed under the name Hevea brasiliensis (rubber tree). The record is from RNAcentral. Lineage: Eukaryota; Viridiplantae; Streptophyta; Magnoliopsida; Malpighiales; Euphorbiaceae.
GCAGGUUUCCUAGGUACACAGAGGAAGUCGACGAUUCAAUCGGAAUGAGUUCUACAAGCGCUCUUCGAGAGCUACAGCGCGAGCUGGAGACGAAAGCCAACGAUCUCAGCAAGCUACAGAAAGAUAUUGCGAAGAACCACCAAGUGAGGAAGAAGUACACUAUUCAGCUGGGUGAGAACGAGCUCGUGCUUAAGGAAUUGGAUCUGCUUAAUGACGAAUCAAAUGUAUAUAAAUUGAUUGGUCCAGUGCUCGUGAAGCAAGAUUUAGCAGAAGCAAAUGCGAAUGUGCGCAAGAGAAUUGAAUACAUCUCUGCAGAAUUGAAACGUCUUGAUUCAGC